Molecule: long non-coding RNA, 720 nt
Organism: Schistocerca nitens (vagrant locust)
Lineage: Eukaryota; Metazoa; Arthropoda; Insecta; Orthoptera; Acrididae
Exons: 5
Source: RefSeq, a predicted model, not a curated record
UGGCGUCGUGUACUUGUCGCAACGUUUCAAUGGACUGCGUAUCCACCAUCGCCUGAAGAUGACGGAUACGCAAUCCAUUGAAACCUUGCGAAUAGAAGACGACGCCACUCGGUUGAUAAUCCGUGAAGAUUUCAUGUAUGUCUAUCGUUUUCGAUACAACGCGUCACGUCAUAUGACGUCAGUCGUGACUCCAUCAACGUGGAGUAAGACUCCAGCGCCAGGCGUUUUACUGGCGUGAUACACUCCGUGUACUCCAAAUUUCUUUGGAGCGACUGCAACGGUUCAGACAUAACUGAAGGUCAUUUGUUAAGGCAAUCACUUCGAUGGGAGUGGCUUGUUGGUACUAAAUAGGAGGGCGCUGUAGUGCGGAAGUUUUGCAGUGUUGCACAAUUUGACAGCCUGUCGUUAAGUGGCGUCUGCUGCAUAGUAUUGCGUAGAAGGCUUGUGUAGCGCAUCGCAUAGGUUGUCAAGCUGUCUGAAAGCAGAGAAACUGAAAUUGCCAUUGUUAAACUGCUUUUUAAGAAUGGUGUUAAGAGUGUCAAUAAUUACCGGCUUGUUUCGCUGCUGACAUAAAUUCCCCAACAUUUUUUAGAAGGAACAAAAGGUGGUGUUUCAGGCUUGACUCAAAUGCCAUACGUUCUAGUUAGAGGGAAUCUCGCAUCUUACGGACAGAGGCAGCCUUGGAGAGUCCUAGUGUCUGGAUUAAAAGCUGGAAAUGGC